GUGUUGCUAGGUGGUUGCUAAGGUGUUGCUAUGGUAUCCGGGGUGGUUGCUAAGGCGUUGCUAGGUGGUUGCUAGGGUGUUACUAUGGUAUCCGCGGUGGUUGCUAAGGUGUUGCUAGGUGGUUGCUAAAGUGUUGCUAGGCGGUUGCUAAGGUGUUACUAUGGUAUCCGUGGUGGUUGCUAAGGUGUU
This is a long non-coding RNA of Astyanax mexicanus (Mexican tetra), 189 nucleotides long. RefSeq lists it as uncharacterized. The transcript has 4 exons. Lineage: Eukaryota; Metazoa; Chordata; Actinopteri; Characiformes; Acestrorhamphidae. The record is from RefSeq and is a predicted model, not a curated record.